AUGCGGGCCCUGUGCGAUGGGGCCCCAUGAACCAUGUCAGGCGGGGAACCGAGCAGCAUUAAGUGGUCUGCCCUGUGCGCCGCAGGCAGCCUGCAUCCG
Molecule: signal recognition particle RNA, 99 nt
Filed under: Allofournierella massiliensis
Lineage: Bacteria; Bacillati; Bacillota; Clostridia; Eubacteriales; Oscillospiraceae
Also listed under: 4 other names
Description: signal recognition particle sRNA small type
Rfam family: Bacterial small signal recognition particle RNA
About the family: The signal recognition particle (SRP) is a universally conserved ribonucleoprotein involved in the co-translational targeting of proteins to membranes.
Source: RNAcentral